RNAcentral lists this ribosomal RNA (468 nucleotides) under uncultured bacterium. RNAcentral describes it as "partial 16S ribosomal RNA". It matches the Rfam family "Bacterial small subunit ribosomal RNA", at positions 28 to 507 of the family's 1533-position model. The record is from RNAcentral.
GACGAACGCUGGCGGCGUGCUUAACACAUGCAAGUCGAACGGAAAGGCCCUGCUUUUGUGGGGUGCUCGAGUGGCGAACGGGUGAGUAACACGUGAGUAACCUGCCCUUGACUUUGGGAUAACUUCAGGUAACUGGGGCUAAUACCGGAUAGGAGCUCCUGCUGCAUGGUGGGGGUUGGAAAGUUUCGGCGGUUGGGGAUGGACUCCCGGCUUAUCAGCUUGUUGGUGGGGUAGGGGCUUACCAAGGCUUUGACGGGUAGCCGGCCUGAGAGGUAGGCCGGCCGCAAUGGGACUGAGAUACAGACCAGACGCCAACGUGAGGCAGCAAUUGGGAAUAUUGCACAAUGGGCGGACGCAUGAUGGAAGAAAUGAGCGUGCGGGAUGGCGGCCUUCUGGUUGUAAACCGCUUUCGCCUGUGCCGAAGCGUGAGAGACGGUAAAGGGUAAAGAAGAACCGGCUAACUACGUG